GUUGACCUCGGAUCAGGUAGGCAUACCCGCUGAACUUAAGCAUAUCAAUAAGCGGAGGAAAAGAAACCAACAGGGAUUUGCCCCAGUA
This 88-nucleotide ribosomal RNA is filed under the name uncultured fungus. RNAcentral's name for it is "partial 28S ribosomal RNA". It matches the Rfam family "Eukaryotic large subunit ribosomal RNA", at positions 1 to 85 of the family's 3401-position model. Lineage: Eukaryota; Fungi. The record is from RNAcentral.